AGAGACAGCAGCAGCCACGGUAAAACGGAGGGUGCAAGCGUUAUCCGGAUUUAUUGGGUUUAAAGGGUCCGUAGGCGGACUUAUAAGUCAGUGGUGAAAGCCUGUCGCUUAACGAUAGAACUGCCAUUGAUACUGUAAGUCUUGAGUAUAUUUGAGGUAGCUGGAAUAAGUAGUGUAGCGGUGAAAUGCAUAGAUAUUACUUAGAACACCAAUUGCGAAGGCAGGUUACCAAGAUAUAACUGACGCUGAGGGACGAAAGCGUGGGUAGCGAACAGGAUUAGAUACCCCUGUAGUCCCUGUCUCUUAUAC
Molecule: ribosomal RNA, 309 nt
Filed under: uncultured bacterium
Lineage: Bacteria
Description: partial 16S ribosomal RNA
Rfam family: Bacterial small subunit ribosomal RNA
Source: RNAcentral